RNAcentral lists this ribosomal RNA (732 nucleotides) under Streptomyces geysiriensis. Its description in RNAcentral is "bacterial SSU rRNA". It matches the Rfam family "Bacterial small subunit ribosomal RNA", at positions 117 to 860 of the family's 1533-position model. The record is from RNAcentral. Lineage: Bacteria; Bacillati; Actinomycetota; Actinomycetes; Kitasatosporales; Streptomycetaceae.
GUGGGCAAUCUGCCCUGCACUCUGGGACAAGCCCUGGAAACGGGGUCUAAUACCGGAUACUGAUCCUCGCAGGCAUCUGCGAGGUUCGAAAGCUCCGGCGGUGCAGGAUGAGCCCGCGGCCUAUCAGCUUGUUGGUGAGGUAACGGCUCACCAAGGCGACGACGGGUAGCCGGCCUGAGAGGGCGACCGGCCACACUGGGACUGAGACACGGCCCAGACUCCUACGGGAGGCAGCAGUGGGGAAUAUUGCACAAUGGGCGAAAGCCUGAUGCAGCGACGCCGCGUGAGGGAUGACGGCCUUCGGGUUGUAAACCUCUUUCAGCAGGGAAGAAGCGAAAGUGACGGUACCUGCAGAAGAAGCGCCGGCUAACUACGUGCCAGCAGCCGCGGUAAUACGUAGGGCGCAAGCGUUGUCCGGAAUUAUUGGGCGUAAAGAGCUCGUAGGCGGCUUGUCACGUCGGUUGUGAAAGCCCGGGGCUUAACCCCGGGUCUGCAGUCGAUACGGGCAGGCUAGAGUUCGGUAGGGGAGAUCGGAAUUCCUGGUGUAGCGGUGAAAUGCGCAGAUAUCAGGAGGAACACCGGUGGCGAAGGCGGAUCUCUGGGCCGAUACUGACGCUAAGGAGCGAAAGCGUGGGGAGCGAACAGGAUUAGAUACCCUGGUAGUCCACGCCGUAAACGGUGGGCACUAGGUGUGGGCAACAUUCCACGUUGUCCGUGCCGCACCUAACGCAU